This is a long non-coding RNA of Equus caballus (horse), 2543 nucleotides long. NCBI's taxonomy places the organism in Eukaryota, Metazoa, Chordata, Mammalia, Perissodactyla, Equidae. The record is from Ensembl.
AGAAACAGCACCACUCGCGUUCCACCUACCUGGCAAUGUCUGUCCUUUCCAAUUUCUAUUCUGUCCUUUUCAUUAGCCUCUUUCUUUCCCUUUUCACUUUCCUAUAAACUUCAGUCAGCAUCCACAAGGGGAAGAGACAAGAACAAGGUAUGUUUCCCACUGCCCUCUGUGCCCAGAAAGAACUCAGACAAAGGCACUUCUACCAAAGAUUUACUCCACAGAUGCUCCUUGGAUCUUGUCAUGGAAUUAGGAUUAAAUAUUGGGAGGUAUAUCAGAUGUGCUCGGUUAAACAUUAGCAAUUUUUAAAAGUUGAGGCAUUUCUCAAACUUUUACACAGGCUAAUAUGAAUUGUGAAUUUCCAGGAAGAAAGAUAACAAAUACAAGUUUCUGAAACUUAUGUGAUAGCACAUUCCUCUUUUUUAAAAUGGAGCAUCUUAUAGUGUUCUGUGCAACAUAUUUUGGGAAGCACUGAUCUGGCAUAUUCUAAAUGCUCCCUGGAAUUCUAUAUUCUUGAUACUUUAAAAUUAAAUCUCCUUGCUUUGGGAUCAAACAACGGAUCUUCUGAUGGCUAAAAAGAACACAAUCUUACAAAAGAACAGAAAGCAUAGCCUAGGUAGUGUGCUUUCUUGAAAAUUAUUAAAACACACAGUGCUAUAUGUUACUGAUGUAAUAAAUGAGAUGAACUCAAUGGAAAUACACACAUCAAAAACCUUUUACUUCCUUAAUCAUGUCUUCAAAGGCAAGAGUAGUGUGACUUGCCCACCUCUAAAUAUGUCUCGUGUUUACCCCAUAGCUUUUCAGGUACUUUUAGUUAGAAAAUAGUAUCAUUUAGGGUAGUUAAGACUAUAUAUAUAUUGCUUUGUCUUUAAUGCUGCUUCCGUAUUCCUUGUAACUGUUGGCGUUUUCCAUGAGGGGUGUCUACAUGCUGGUCUUUUGUCUGGUGCAUUGAUGGAGCCUUUGGAGGCUGCACUGGACCACCACGCUGUACCCAGUAAGGGCAAUUCACUUUUUAGCUAAUCUCCUGUAUCUACGCCUAUUGCUUCUACUGCUAGUGAUGAAUCCAAGGUCUCGUACUGCUGGCCAGAGUACUUUCAAGAUGGCCCAAGCUCAUUUAACUUCCGAAGCAUCCACUUGGUUCUCAAGAAAUUCCUGAGUCCUUGUGGGGCAAUCUGUUUUUGCCUUGCCAUCACGUGCUGCUCCAGCCAGACUCCUACCUUCAGGAUUCUCCAGAUGAGAGGCAGAUCCAGUGUUUGUGACUGUUCCCCAAAGCCUAGCCAGAUCUUCCCACUGCCAAACCCAUCCAACCUUCACCGGUCUGGUCCAUUCUUCCUCUUUCGGACUCCUAUCAAGGAACACCUCCUUCUCUAAGUCUAAUAUUAUUCUCCCAAGAAGAGUUAGUUGCUGGAUAAUUUUUGCCUCACCGUGCAUGGCUUUCUCCUCUUCGUGGAAUCUGCCACACUGUUUUGUAUUCUUCGAAUUCUGAAGCUACAAGGGACAGGAGGCCAUAAAACCAAAAAGAAGGCCUCUGGAAAGCAAAGCAAGGCAUUUCUUCAGCCUCAAGGUACUGAUGUGGGUAGAUUCAGGACCCACCAGGACCCACCCAGUAGGAGGCCCCUGUGGAUGCACCAAUUUCAAGUAUGAAACUCUGUAGGCUUACACCCUAGUAGCAGAGGUGAACUAGCCAUGAACCAAACCUUACGAGAUUCACUGCCCUGUUCUGAUUCAGUUUAGUCCUAGAGGACAGGAUGAACCUUUUCAGAAGGAAAAUAAUAUAUGGAGACUAUGUAUAUAUUUUUACAGAUAAUACCUGACACUCAAUAAAAUGUUAAUAGGCGUGCCAAGAUACAGGGCAAUAACCUGAAAGAUAAGAUUGAACAAAAAAGAGUUUCACAAGUGAUUCAGAUAUUGGAGUUAGCAGAACAAAGACUUUAAAAUAACUAGAACUAACAUGCCUCCCAAAUAGAGGCAAAUAUGGGCAAACUAGGUGGGAGAUGGAGAACCUCACCAAAGUAUUGAAAUAUAUUUUAAAAAACUAACUAGAAAUUCUAGAAUUGAAAAAUAGAAUAACUGAGAUGAAAAAAUCAGCAAUAGAUAGUUUUAAAAAAGGCUGGACGCAACAGAAGAAAGGAUUAGUAAAGGUAGAUCAAUAGAAACUACACUGAAGCUCAGGAAGAAAAAGUGGAAAAUACAGGAAAAACACAAGGGACAUGAAGAUCUAGUGAUAAAGUUUUAUAUACAUGAAAUAGAAAUUCCAGAAGGAAAAGAUAGAGGUAAUGGGGCAGGAGAAUGUUUGAAGAAUUAAAAAACAUAGCAAGGAAAGAAAAUUACAGUGCAAUUUCUCCCUCAAAAUUUGUUAAGCUGAAGAGUUAUGAUUUGUACACUUUUCUGUAUAUAUGUUACCCUUGAAUAAAAAAUUUAAAAAGGCCAAAUACGUGUCUGACUCCAGCAAACUUUGAUAUUUUAUUCUGUUGACGUAUAUGUUAUCUACAAUAUUGAAAUUCUUGCCAUUCUAGCAUUUAACAGAGGAACUAAAACAGAACAGC